Molecule: ribosomal RNA, 252 nt
Filed under: uncultured Paenibacillus sp.
Lineage: Bacteria; Bacillati; Bacillota; Bacilli; Caryophanales; Paenibacillaceae
Description: partial 16S ribosomal RNA
Rfam family: Bacterial small subunit ribosomal RNA
Source: RNAcentral
UACGUAGGGGGCAAGCGUUGUCCGGAAUUAUUGGGCGUAAAGCGCGCGCAGGCGGUCAAUUAAGUCUGGUGUUUAAUCCUGGGGCUCAACUCCGGGUCGCACUGGAAACUGGUUGACUUGAGUACAGAAGAGGAAAGUGGAAUUCCACGUGUAGCGGUGAAAUGCGUAGAGAUGUGGAGGAACACCAGUGGCGAAGGCGACUUUCUGGGCUGACACUGACGCUGAGGUGCGAAAGCGUGGGGAGCAAACAGG